RNAcentral lists this ribosomal RNA (492 nucleotides) under uncultured bacterium. Its description in RNAcentral is "partial 16S ribosomal RNA". It matches the Rfam family "Bacterial small subunit ribosomal RNA", at positions 28 to 507 of the family's 1533-position model. The record is from RNAcentral.
GAUGAACGCUAGCUACAGGCUUAACACAUGCAAGUCGAGGGGAAACGGCAUUAAGUGCUUGCACUUUUUGGACGUCGACCGGCGCACGGGUGAGUAACGCGUAUCCAACCUUCCCAUGACUAAGGGAUAACCUGCCGAAAGGCAGACUAAUACCUUAUGGUCUUCACUGACGGCAUCAGAUGUGAAGUAAAGAUUUAUCGGUUAUGGAUGGGGAUGCGUCUGAUUAGCUUGUUGGCGGGGUAACGGCCCACCAAGGCAACGAUCAGUAGGGGUUCUGAGAGGAAGGCCCCCCACAUUGGAACUGAGACACGGUCCAAACUCCUACGGGAGGCAGCAGUGAGGAAUAUUGGUCAAUGGGCGAGAGCCUGAACCAGCCAAGUAGCGUGCAGGAUGACGGCCCUAUGGGUUGUAAACUGCUUUUGUAUGGGGAUAAAGUCAAUCACGUGUGAUUGUUUGCAGGUACCAUACGAAUAAGGACCGGCUAAUUCCGUG